This is a small nucleolar RNA of Magnolia sinica, 107 nucleotides long. The record is from RefSeq and is a predicted model, not a curated record. NCBI's taxonomy places the organism in Eukaryota, Viridiplantae, Streptophyta, Magnoliopsida, Magnoliales, Magnoliaceae.
UAUCCAUGAUGUAGACAUGAAUUCAAAAGAUCUUUGAAUCUCUCCCAAUAUUGGAAGAAGGUCCCUUCCUCUUUUUGAGAGAAAUUCAUGAUCACCCUCCUCAGGGU